This 71-nucleotide transfer RNA is filed under the name Ovis aries (sheep). It matches the Rfam family "tRNA". Rfam says of the family: Transfer RNA (tRNA) molecules are approximately 80 nucleotides in length. Their secondary structure includes four short double-helical elements and three loops (D, anti-codon, and T loops). Lineage: Eukaryota; Metazoa; Chordata; Mammalia; Artiodactyla; Bovidae. The record is from Rfam by way of RNAcentral.
UCCCUGGUGGCUCAGUUGUAAAGAAUCCGCUUGCAAUGCAGGAGACCCAGGUUCGAUCCCUGGUCUGGGAA